Molecule: long non-coding RNA, 566 nt
Filed under: Malus domestica (apple)
Lineage: Eukaryota; Viridiplantae; Streptophyta; Magnoliopsida; Rosales; Rosaceae
Description: long non-coding RNA (MDOM_LNC015322)
Source: RNAcentral
AAACUCCCUCUCUCUCCCUCUCACUCAUCAAAUUCUCUCUUUCUCUCUCUAAAAAUGAAGAUGGGUUUUGCAGGGUUCCAAGUUUUGAUGGUUUUGAGUCUUUUGGCCACAUCAUGCAUAGCCCAGGCCCCAGGAGCUGCACCCACAGCCUCACCCCCAACCGCCACGCCGCCAACCGCCACCCCGCCAACCGCCACGCCGCCAACCGCCACCCCACCAACCGCUACACCGCCAUCAGCCGUACCAGUUCCAUCACCCAGCAAAACACCAACCGUGUCACCAACUCCAUCACCAGUGACAGCACCAACCCCAAGUGCCUCCCCACCGGCUUCCACACCAUCUGCUGAGUCUCCGUCGUCCCCACCUGCUCCCUCUGGCCCAAGCCCGAACUCCCCACCGGCUGAGGCUCUUCCUCCAAGUGGCACCUCCACCAUCAGCCGCGCUGUUAUUGCUGGAACUGCUCUUGCUGGAGUCUUCUUCGCCGUUGUGUUGGCUUAGAUUCAUGGGGUUUACCCUUUCGGGUUUCGCUAUUCGUCCACAUGGAGACUCCUCAUCGGCUCUCAGAU